GCACUCAAUAAUCUCCCAUCCAGCUUUGCUUAGUAUGCUACGGUUCGGUACACUGUGGACUCAAAAUAUCUUUCCAAGUACAGCAACCUUAUGAUGCAGUGCUUAAUGUUCCUCGAUGAUGUAGCCAAUUCUGGCCGCUGAUGGGGACUGCCUGCGUGAUCUGCUCACCAGCUCUGAAAAAAGCUUUGGAACAAGUCCUUGGGUCUGUCCCAGGCAUAAGGAUAUUUCAGUCUGAGAAAGUUACUGCUUUUGUUGACUUCUGCUGUCCCUGAGGGCUUUGCAACCCUGGAUCCUUGCCUGAGAGGUUUAUCAGGAAGCGCAAAGGCUGAAGCCUAUGCGUUGGCAAAGGGGCUCCUGCUUGGCCAUUCUUGCACUGGAACAUGUGUAUUCUCCCCAGAAACUUUGAGGCGUCUUUGAUUUGUACUGGUGCAGGAACAGAAGAGCUUUCUACCCAGGUCCCAUGAGGAACUCUUGGAGGGAACAGCAACUCUUUGGAAGAAUUCAUAUCACUGAGCUUGGUCCUGCAAGGCAGGCCCUGCCACUGCUGACCGGGUCCAUUCUGAGCAACGAUGUAUUAGCAAAGCAGCGCCCACAUGGAUCCGCUGGGAUUUCUGCUCCAUUCCUACCCAUCCAGCUUUAUUUGCCUCCCUUAAUCCAGGGAAAACACUAACAUGAAACAACCUUCACUUCUUAUCUGAGAGCCAUAUUCCUUGAAAGCUUCCACUGCUGGGGCAGGGUGAUCUGCUCAAGCCAAGACAUAUACCGUCCACUUUUAGGCUCUGUCCUUCGUAUGGUGUCUGUGAUACUCCUAUACAAACCCAUUUCUUGUAAAAUAACAAAAAGCAGUGGGCAGAGUCAUGGGCAGGGUGCUAUUUUAGUUUCAGUAAAUGGUUUUUAUCAGAAGUAGGCCUUUCCUUUCUGCUUCUAUAGAUUGUAAAGAGGUUUCUGCCUCUCUAACUCUGAGAGUGGGUCUCAGAAACGUAUUUCACCCUUAUGCUACAAAAUAAACCUGCUGAACGGGAUUGCUGUUGGCUUGAGCGUAAGCAAGUGCUCUUCUUGUAAACUGGCACAAACACAAAUGUGCUUAUGGUUAUGGAUUUUAUACAGUUUUCAUAGCGUAAUUUUGGCAUUAGUCUCCAG
Molecule: long non-coding RNA, 1140 nt
Organism: Gallus gallus (chicken)
Lineage: Eukaryota; Metazoa; Chordata; Aves; Galliformes; Phasianidae
Source: Ensembl